RNAcentral lists this ribosomal RNA (448 nucleotides) under uncultured bacterium. Its description in RNAcentral is "bacterial SSU rRNA". It matches the Rfam family "Bacterial small subunit ribosomal RNA", at positions 355 to 825 of the family's 1533-position model. The record is from RNAcentral.
UGAGGAAUAUUGCACAAUGGGCGCAAGCCUGAUGCAGCGACGCCGCGUGGGUGAAGAAGGUUUUCGGAUCGUAAAACCCUUUUCUGUGUGACGAGAACGGACGGUAGCACAGGAAUAAGUCUCGGCUAACUACGUGCCAGCAGCCGUGGUAAAACGUAGGAGACAAACGUUAUCCGGAGUUACUGGGCGUAAAGGGCGUGCAGGCGGCAGUCUAAGUCUGGCGUGAAAUAUCCCGGCUUAACCGGGGAAGGUCGUCGGAUACUGGGCAGCUAGAGGGCGGUAGAGGCGUGUGGAAUUCCGGGUGUAGUGGUGAAAUGCGUAGAGAUCCGGAGGAACACCAGUGGCGAAGGCGACACGCUGGGCCGCACCUGACGCUAAGACGCGACAGCAUGGGGAGCAAACAGGAUUAGAUACCCGCGUAGUCCCUGAGCGGGCUGGCAAGGCGCAU